Non-coding RNA from Schistosoma rodhaini, 78 nucleotides. The record is from Rfam. Lineage: Eukaryota; Metazoa; Platyhelminthes; Trematoda; Strigeidida; Schistosomatidae.
AGCUUUCUGAAUCCGUGUCGAGAUUUCGUCAGGCACCAGGCUAUCAGUACUGAUGAGACUUCCAAGAUAAAUCGAGCG